Molecule: RNase MRP RNA, 258 nt
Filed under: Sparus aurata (gilthead seabream)
Lineage: Eukaryota; Metazoa; Chordata; Actinopteri; Spariformes; Sparidae
Description: RNase MRP (ENSSAUG00010019294.1)
Rfam family: RNase MRP
About the family: RNase MRP is an enzymatically active ribonucleoprotein with two distinct roles in eukaryotes.
Source: Rfam by way of RNAcentral
GGGCAUUCGGAAGUCUUGCACUCUGGGCUACCUACAGAGAAUCUGAUUUCUCCCCACCGCCCAGGGGAAAGUCCCCGGACUCGAGGCAGAAAGUGUCGCUGGGUUAUUCCAGUGUCCGCUAGCGCCGCACCGCUAAUAAGCUAAGACGUUCGUACGAGCAGAGCUUGGUGUUCGCUGGUAGACUUUGUCAGCGUUACUAGUAAUGCAAGUGCGCACUUACUAACGCAUAAACAGAACGGGGCUCAUUCUCGGAAUGCA